CCUACGGGAGGCAGCAGUGGGGAAUAUUGGGCAAUGGUCGCAAGACUGACCCAGCAACGCCGCGUGAAGGAAGAAGGCUUUCGGGUUGUAAACUUCUUUUCUCAGGGACGAAGCAAGUGACGGUACCUGAGGAAUAAGCCACGGCUAACUACGUGCCAGCAGCCGCGGGAAUACGUAGGUGGCAAGCGUUAGCCGGAUUUACUGGGUGUAAAGGGCGUGUAGGCGGGAAAGCAAGUCAGAUGUGAAAACCAUGGGCUCAACCUGUGGCCUGCAUUUGAAACUGUUUUUCUUGAGUACUGGAGAGGCAGACGGAAUUCCUAGUGUAGCGGUGAAAUGCGUAGAUAUUAGGAGGAACACCAGUGGCGAAGGCGGUCUGCUGGACAGCAACUGACGCUGAGGCGCGAAAGCGUGGGGAGCAAACAGGAUUAGAUACCCCUGUAGUC
This 443-nucleotide ribosomal RNA is filed under the name uncultured bacterium. Its description in RNAcentral is "partial 16S ribosomal RNA". It matches the Rfam family "Bacterial small subunit ribosomal RNA", at positions 338 to 795 of the family's 1533-position model. The record is from RNAcentral.